RNAcentral lists this ribosomal RNA (497 nucleotides) under uncultured bacterium. Its description in RNAcentral is "partial 16S ribosomal RNA". It matches the Rfam family "Bacterial small subunit ribosomal RNA", at positions 28 to 507 of the family's 1533-position model. The record is from RNAcentral.
GAUGAACGCUGGCGGCGUGCCUAAUACAUGCAAGUCGAGCGAACGGACGAGAAGCUUGCUUCUCUGAUGUUAGCGGCGGACGGGUGAGUAACACGUGGAUAACCUACCUAUAAGACUGGGAUAACUUCGGGAAACCGGAGCUAAUACCGGAUAAUAUUUUGAACCGCAUGGUUCAAAAGUGAAAGACGGUCUUGCUGUCACUUAUAGAUGGAUCCGCGCUGCAUUAGCUAGUUGGUAAGGUAACGGCUUACCAAGGCAACGAUGCAUAGCCGACCUGAGAGGGUGAUCGGCCAAACUGGAACUGAGACACGGUCCAGACUCCUACGGGAGGCAGCAGUAGGGAAUCUUCCGCAAUGGGCGAAAGCCUGACGGAGCAACGCCGCGUGAGUGAUGAAGGUCUUCGGAUCGUAAAACUCUGUUAUUAGGGAAGAACAUAUGUGUAAGUAACUGUGCACAUCUUGACGGUACCUAAUCAGAAAGCCACGGUUAACUACGUG